GGCCUCUCCUCCCUACCAUUACAAGUCACCACCGCCUCCUUCUCCUUCUCCUCCAGUGCACUACUCACCACCUAAGCAUCCCUACCACCCUAAGUCACCACCACCUCCUGUGUACGCACCACCUAAGCAUCCCUACCACCCUAAGUCACCACCACCUCCUGUGUACCCACCACCUAAGCAUCCCUACCACCCCAAGUCACCACCACCAUCACCAAAGCCUUACCACUACAAAUCCCCACCACCACCUCCUGCUCCAGUGCACUCACCACCCCCACCUAAGGAGCCAUACCACUACAAGUCCCCACCACCACCACCCAAGAAGCCCUACCACUACAAAUCUCCCCCACCACCUCCUCCUCCAGUUCACUCACCACCACCACCCAAGGAGCCUUACCACUACAAAUCUCCACCACCACCACCCAAGAAACCUUACUAUUACAAGUCUCCUCCACCACCACCAAAGAAGCCUUACCACUACAUGUCUCCUCCCCCACCGGUGUACUCACCACCUCCACCAGUGCACUCACACCCACCACCAAAAAAGCCUUACCAUUACAAAUCUCCUCCCCCGCCAGAAUAUUCACCAGCUCCACCAGUGCACUCAACCCCACCACCAAAGAAGCCCUACCAUUACAAAUCCCCACCACCACCACCACCACACAAGAAGCCUUAUUACCCUGUUCACUCACCACCUCCACCUAAGAAGCCUUACCACUACAAAUCCCCACCACCACCUUCUCCUACUCCUCCUAAAUACUCACCACCUAAGCACCCCUACCACUACAAGUCUCCACCACCACCACCAAAGAAGCCUUACCAUUACAAGUCCCCACCACCUCCUUCUCCUACUCCCCCUAAAUACUCACCACCUAAGCACCCCUACCACUACAAGUCACCACCACCACCACCCCAAGAAGCCUUACCACUACAAGUCUCCACCACCACCACCUCCUCCAGUUCCCACACCAUCUCCACCCAAGAAACCUUACCACUACAAGUCUCCCCCACCACCCCCUCCAGUCUACAAGUCUCCUCCACCACCAGUUUACUCACCACCACCACCACCUAAGAAACCUUACAAGCCACCAACUCCUCCAGCAGUUCACCCACCACACGGUUACAUCUAUUCCUCACCCCCACCUCCUCACCACUACUAGAUAUUGAAAGUUUAAUUGCAUCAAGCUGGUAA
Molecule: long non-coding RNA, 1189 nt
Filed under: Malus domestica (apple)
Lineage: Eukaryota; Viridiplantae; Streptophyta; Magnoliopsida; Rosales; Rosaceae
Description: long non-coding RNA (MDOM_LNC008886)
Source: RNAcentral